Molecule: small RNA, 91 nt
Filed under: unclassified sequences
Description: GA-cis RNA
Rfam family: GA-cis RNA
Source: Rfam by way of RNAcentral
AUAAGGAGGGCUCCAAAUGAUGCGCAGCAUCAUUUAUCUGAUGAGCCCGUGACAUGCCGCCGAAGCUUCAGCUGAGGGGGCGAUACCGCAA